ACUCCUACGGGAGGCAGCAGUGGGGAAUAUUGGACAAUGGACCAAAAGUCUGAUCCAGCAAUUCUGUGUGUUUGAUGAAGGCCUUCGGGUUGUAAAGAACUUUCAGUGGGGAAGAAGCAAGUGACGGUACCCACAGAAGAAGCGACGGCUAAAUACGUGCCAGCAGCCGCGGUAAUACGUAUGUCGCAAGCGUUAUCCGGAAUUAUUGGGUCAUAAAGGGCGUCUAGGCGGUACUAAUAAGUCUGAUGUGAAAAUGCGGGGCGUCAACUCCGUAUUGCGUUGGAAACUGUUAGACUAGAGUUUUGGAGAGGUAGGCGGGAACUACAAGUGUAGAGGUGAAAUUCGUAGAGAUUUGUAGGAAUGCCGAUGACGAAGGUAGCUUACUGGACAAAUACUGACGCUGAAGCGCGAAAGCUAGGGGAGCAAACAGGAUUAGAUACCCGUGGUAGCGACUGA
RNAcentral lists this ribosomal RNA (456 nucleotides) under uncultured bacterium. RNAcentral's name for it is "bacterial SSU rRNA". It matches the Rfam family "Bacterial small subunit ribosomal RNA", at positions 335 to 798 of the family's 1533-position model. The record is from RNAcentral.